This 253-nucleotide ribosomal RNA is filed under the name uncultured bacterium. Its description in RNAcentral is "partial 16S ribosomal RNA". It matches the Rfam family "Bacterial small subunit ribosomal RNA", at positions 524 to 776 of the family's 1533-position model. The record is from RNAcentral.
UACAGAGGGGGCAAGCGUUGUUCGGAAUUACUGGGCGUAAAGGGCGCGUAGGCGGUCCGCUAAGUCGAACGUGAAAUCCCCGAGCUCAACUCGGGAACUGCGUCCGAUACUGGCGGGCUUGAAUCCGGGAGAGGGAUGCGGAAUUCCAGGUGUAGCGGUGAAAUGCGUAGAUAUCUGGAGGAACACCGGUGGCGAAGGCGGCAUCCUGGACCGGCAUUGACGCUGAGGCGCGAAAGCUAGGGGAGCAAACGGG